Molecule: long non-coding RNA, 750 nt
Filed under: Jatropha curcas
Lineage: Eukaryota; Viridiplantae; Streptophyta; Magnoliopsida; Malpighiales; Euphorbiaceae
Description: long non-coding RNA (JCUR_LNC000133)
Source: RNAcentral
AUAAAAAAGACAAGGCAUCAUCAUUUGAGAAGUUCGAUUCCAAACGUCCUGAGUUUUUUGGUUAUCAUUACGACGACAAUGAUAAAAAAGACAAGUCAACGUCAUUUGAGAAGUUCGAUCCCAAACGUCCUGAGUUCCUUCACUAUGGUUACAACGAUGAUGAUAAAAAAGACAAGUCAACGUCAUUUGAGAAGUUCGAUCCCAAACGUCCUGAGUUCCUUCACUAUGGUUACAACGAUGAUGAUAAAAAAGACAAGUCAACGUCAUUUGAGAAGUUCGAUCCUAAACGUCCUGAGUUCUUUCACUAUGGUUACAAUGAUGAUGAUAAAAAAGACAAGUCAACGUCAUUUGAGAAGUUCGAUCCUAAACGUCCUGAGUUCUUUCACUAUGGUUACAAUGAUGAUGAUAAAAAAGACAAGUCAACGUCAUUUGAGAAGUUCGAUCCUAAACGUCCUGAGUUCCUUCACUAUGGUUACAACGAUGAUGAUAAACAAGACAAGUCAACAUCAUUUGAGAAGUUCGAUCCUAAACGUCCUGAGUUCCUUCACUAUAGUUACAACGACGAUGAUAAAAAAGAUAAGUCAACGUCAUUUGAGAAGUUCGAUCCUAAACGUCCUGAGUUCCUUCACUAUGGUUACAACGAUGAUGAUAACACUGACAAAUUAUCAUCUGUUCAAAAUUUUGAGCGUUGGGUUCCUCUUCCAUCAUUUCAUUAUACUUACAGCGACGAUGAUAACACAGAGAAAUCAU